RNAcentral lists this ribosomal RNA (253 nucleotides) under uncultured bacterium. RNAcentral's name for it is "partial 16S ribosomal RNA". It matches the Rfam family "Bacterial small subunit ribosomal RNA", at positions 524 to 776 of the family's 1533-position model. The record is from RNAcentral.
UACAGAGGGUGCGAGCGUUAAUCGGAAUUACUGGGCGUAAAGCGUGCGUAGACGGUUAUCUAAGUCGGAUGUGAAAGCCUCGGGCUCAACCUGGGAAUUGCAUUCGAGACUGAAUAGCUAGGGUGCGGUAGAGGGGGAUGGAAUUCCGCGUGUAGCAGUGAAAUGCGUAGAUAUCAGAAGGAACAUCAGUGGCGAAGGCGGCUUUCUGGACCAAUACUGACGAUCAGGUGCGAAAGCGUGGGGAGCAAACAGG